RNA transcript from Taeniopygia guttata (zebra finch), 7990 nucleotides. It is a transcript of the gene named UDP-GlcNAc:betaGal beta-1,3-N-acetylglucosaminyltransferase 9, with no coding region annotated. The record is from RefSeq and is a predicted model, not a curated record. NCBI's taxonomy places the organism in Eukaryota, Metazoa, Chordata, Aves, Passeriformes, Estrildidae.
UGCAGGAAUGGUGCAAGUCCCCAACCUGGCUGCGCGCUCUGCGCCCGACACCUCCGCCCUGUCCCGGAGCCAUCGGCGCUCCCCGGCCCCAUCACGUGUCGGGGCUGGGACGGGACCGGCUCUGCCCUGCCCGCCGAGCUCGGGGCUGCGAGGGGGCUGUGCUGGGGCCGGCGAAUCCCGCUCCCGGCUGGAUCCCAGCCCGAUCCCGGCCCGCUCCCGGCCCUGCUCCCAGCCCCGGCCCGGCCCGGCCCGGCCCGCUCCGCUCGCUGCCGGCGGGGACGGCCCCGAGCCCGCGGGGUUCGCUGCGCUCCGCGGGAAGGCUGAGCAAUGUCUCCCGCUAACUACAUCCAGAUGUGCCUGCUUGGCAGCCCGCUGCACAGACAUUACCGAGGGGACGCAGGAUCGGCGCUAUCAAAUGGGAUUUGAAGAACUGAUCAAAUAAGACAGAAGAUCUCCAGGAAAAGUAUGGCCAGUGGUGCCAGGCAGCUCAAACACAGCUUUUAACAGUCCCAGGAACACUGGAGAGACAAUGAGAGUUCGCCUCAAAGGGGAUGUGAUCUGUACCCUCUUCUUGCUGGUGGCGCUUUGUUCUUUGCUCUACUCCCAGCUGGAACAUUUAGUCCCGGCAGGAAAGAAGAAGCCAGCACAGAACAAGCCUCGAGUAGCACCAAAAGUAUUCUCUGAUCUCAAAGCACCUCAGAGGCUGAUGCCAGCAGAGGCAACUGCACCCAGACCCCAAGUUACCCCUGCCAUGAGACAAACAGAAGUGGCCAAAACCAGGGUGCAAACUACAUCUCCACCCCCGCUGACCGAUUCUGCCUUCAACUUCAAGCUCUAUCUCCUAAACAAGGAUAACAGGAACUUCAAUCUCCUCAUUAACCAGCCCAGGAAAUGCCGAAAAACACCGGCAGGUCCCUUUCUGCUCAUUGCUAUCAAAUCGAUAGUUGAAGACUUUGACAGGCGUGAGAUUGUCCGGAAAACUUGGGGCAGGGAGGGUUUGGUGAAUGGGGAGCAGAUCCAGCGAGUGUUCCUGCUGGGAACACCAAAGAAUAGGACAGUGCUGGCAACAUGGGAGACCCUGAUGCAGCAGGAGAGUCAGACAUACCGGGACAUUUUACUCUGGGACUUCAUGGACACUUUCUUCAACCUGACCCUGAAGGAGAUCCACUUCCUGAGCUGGGCUGCUGAAUUCUGCCACAAUGUGAAAUUUAUUUUUAAAGGUGACGCUGAUGUUUUUGUCAACGUUGAGAACAUUGUUGAUUUCCUCAAGAGACACGAUCCCACUGAAGAUCUCUUUGUUGGGGACAUCAUCUACAAUGCCCGUCCCAUCCGUGUGCAGAAGAGCAAAUACUACAUCCCAGAGACCAUGUACGGGCUGAGCAUCUACCCCGCCUAUGCCGGAGGAGGAGGGUUCUUGCUGUCCGGCUGCACCAUGAGGAAGCUCUCUAGGGCUUGCAGGGAGGUGGAGCUGUUCCCCAUUGAUGAUGUCUUUUUGGGCAUGUGCUUACAGAGAAUCAACCUCAAGCCCAUUUUACAUGAAGGAUUCAAGACCUUUGGCAUUGUUAAGCCUUCUGCUGCCCCACACCUACAGACGUUCGAUCCCUGUUUUUACAAAGAUCUCAUGGUAGUUCAUAGCCUGAAGGUUGCUGAGAUCUGGCUAAUGUGGAACCUGCUCCACAGCCCACGGCUUUCCUGUACUCAGAAGAAGCAGGUGAAGAAGCCUUUCCAAUGGAAGAAGAAAGCUCAGAUAACACCAGCAUCACCACCCUGAUAAUGCAGAGCACAGCACACACAGCAAACCAGCCAAGAAGGGAGCCUGGAAAUGAUACAGCCCAACAAACCAACUUUCCAAGUGUUUUUUAGCACGUCUUAUUUACAACAUUAGGAGAAGACAACAAACAAUGGCAGGAAUUUGUCCAAAUUCCACAUCUGCACAUACAUAUCAUGUGGGUCUUUCUGUACUAAUGAGUCCAAAUAAUCAUAACAUAUAUAUAAUUUAUUAUUAUUUAUUAGGAUUAUAGUAGUGCUUAGUGGGACAGUGUGUAAAAGCACAUUGAAAAAUGCAGUCCUUGGACAUUUUUCAGCAUGGUUAGAAGUGUGAGAAAUGAAGGAAGACAUAAGGUAAGAACAGACAUCAGGGAGCACAGGGAUCAUUGUCAACUUGCUACUUGACUUGGACUCAUUGAAAAAUGACCAGACAGUAACUAGGGUACAGGAAACUGAGUCCCCUUAGUGUCCGCUCAGAUCACAUCACUGCUGCCUGGUUGGUUUUCCACAGGCCUUGUAAGAAGAGAACAACAAACAGCUGUUGAAAAGGGGUCCUACAGUUGCAGUUCAGGUGGAUUACAAGAAAUCAAACUGGAUGCUGAGGCUGGCAUGGCUGGUGGAGCAAAGGACAGCAGGUUUCCAGAAGCAAACCUCAGCUGCAAACUCAAACAGUACAAAAUAAUCAAACGGCUCAGAGAACCUUCACUAAAUAUCAGCACUGAGAACAUUCCCUGGGGAGUGCUGAAAGACCAUCAGAUCAGAGAGAAAAAGAAGUCUAUCCCAAAGCCCAGCAUGAAAACCUGCUGAUCUCCUGAGCUGUACCUCUUCCAGCUGGACUUGCAAGUCUCAGCAGCUCAGAAAAUCAGCCCACCACAUUUCCUAAUGAUGCUACUAACUGCAGUGGCAGUUUUAAAAACCAGUAAAACUUUUAAAUACAAUUUUUCAUUGCUUUUAUGAUCAGUAAGAAAACCAUACUGAGGAAUGAGAGGGGAAAGUAAAGAGGAAAGUAAAACCAAAGGAGGAGCACAACUGAGUCCCUCCAGGAGUGGCAAACAGCUCCCCCACCAUUCCUGGCCAGCCCAAGGCUCUCUCCAAACCAUUCAGACUCAGCUCAGGGAUCUUCUCUCUCCCCCGCCUUUCCCAGCCCAUCUGUUGACGAUCCAUGAGCUAAAACCUUGGAAAAAACCUAACACAGGUUUGCAGUGACAGCCUUGUCCCAGGGGGGUGCCUGAGUUGGGUGGGAAUCAAGGUGUGACAAGAAGACAACUGGUGUCUACAGCCAGAAAAGCAGAAAAGGGUGGAAUAAUCUCUGUAACCUCCCUACUGUGGAUGCAGCAGAGCUUACCCAGCAAGGGACAGGGUAAAUUCAGAAUUUCAGGGCUGCAGUUUUUCUGAGAUGAGCUGAGGGGAAAAGGGAAUACAGCAAAUCAGGCUGGUUUGAUUAUUUAGUUGAUUAGAUUGCACAUUGCAUAAUCAUGCAGGGUUUUUUCUGAUUGGUAUUUAAACUAAAUGCCUCUCUGAAGGAUAAGAUAAUGAAACUUAUGCACUCAGUGGAAUAUAUAUAUAUAUAUAUAUAUAUAUAUAUAUAUAUGUAUAUAUAUAUAUGUAUAUAGUGUAGGUGUAAAGCAUUAAGGCACUUAAAGCCAGCUUCCAGAAUUGGAAUAUGCAGUACUUCAAAAUAACUAAAGGAGUGAAAUUUAAAGAGAGAUUCAUUAAUGUAUGAAAAAGAUUACAUUAAACCAUUACUCCAGAACAAAAGUUACUGUAAUAAUGGUCUCUUACACCAGAGUGAAUGCCCUGCCCUGCAAACUCCAGCUUACCUUUCCUGCUGUUUCAAGCACUCAUGUUUUCCAGAUGAUGAGGAUAAAUUAUUUCACCUGCUGGAAAAACAGACAUCCCCACAUACACCACAAGAGCUUGGGAUGUUGGCAGAUAAAUAUUUUAACAGCAUCUUUAUUAGUCACAGCACAAAUUCACAUAGGCAAAGAAUAUGGUAUUUAAGUUACACCUUAAGUACUUACUUGAGCCCCCAAAUAACACAUACACUCCCCCCCAAAAAAUCCUUCAUGAGCUCUGCUUCAUUGAGCCUGUUUUUAAUGCUUAACAGUUGCAUCUCCAGUGAGCUCCAUUUUCCAUUUCCCCUUGUUUUACUUCAGCCUUAUCCUCUCUCUGACACAACCUGGUUCAUGCUUCACAUGAAAAGAACCACCAGAACUAACCAGGAUUUGAACAGCACACACAGUGAGGUAUUUCUUUGGCUCCAUGUGCUGUGGCAGAUUGUGGCUGACAGAGUCAGGCAGAGAGGAGGGGGCUUUGCACUGGUGUAAUCAAGGUUUUAAAAAAAGGUGUUUAUCAGGCAAAAGGUGGCACAGAACAAUUGUAACUAGCAUGGAAUAAUGUUUCUUGCAUCAUAACAUCAAAAAAUAUACUGAACACAACCAGCCUAUGUGAAAUUGUGCCAAAUCAGACAACUUGGUCUUUGCCCAAAUACUCUGGAGAAAGGAUGAAGAGAGGGUUUGGACAUAACAUUUCUAAGAGCCACACUGACUCACACAGAUUUACUUUCAAUGUACAUUUUGAGCCACCAAACACAACAACACAAUAGAAGUUCUGGCUUAGGGUAGUUAAGUGACUAACAGGUUCUAACAGCAGGUAGAAAGUCAGUGUGAAGGGGGCAGCACCACCCACAAUUUCCCUCUGGAAAACAGCAGCUGGCCCCUAAUCUCCAGCCAGCCCCAAAGCAAUGAUGAAUCACCAUCUACUUGUAGAGCUGAAAGAUUUUGUUUUAAACAGGUUGGAUGGGAGCUCUGGAAUUUGAAUGAUCAUGAUCACAUGAAUAAGUUCUAACACACCAUAUGAUUAGUCUUUCAGGGAAAAAAAAAAAUCUGUUUAGAAUUAAAAAUGUGGCAGUUCUUGGCAAGAGAAGAUUGCUUUUCCUUGUCAGGAAUUGCAAUUUGGGGAACAGAGGGUUCUAGUAUUACACAGCAGCACUUAUCUAUACAGCACUGCCUGAAGCCAUCACAGGACCCCAGGGACUGCUUGAAGGCCUGGAAAAUAGGUGAAGAAAUGUCAGCUUCACCUCCUUAGAGAAGGGCACAGCAAUCAGUUUUAUUAAUUGUAAACAAAUGAAAUACUGUGGACAGUACUGCAAUUUAAGCACACACACAAACUCCUGACCUCUUUACAAAGGAAAACAGCACACAUCAGAAGGAGAUCAUAUGCACUACAUGUUUUAUUAAAAAUGCAAUUUUACUUUAUAUCAAACAGUUUUAUCAUAUGAAACCAAAAUAGUGGAUCAAUGCACAUGUUGCCAACAUGCAGGAUCUGUAUCAAACCACAUAGGAUUAUCACAAGGAACAAGGCCACCUGGCAAAAUGGGAUCUGAUGCCCAAAUCUCUCAGUUCCUUUGGAGGGGGAGGCAGAGCUGGCCCCCUGCUCCCCCUGAGCAGCCCUUUGCCCAGAAGAGCUCUUGGUUCAGAGAAACUGCCUCAUCUCAGCCUCCCUUCCUGCCACACUGCCAUCCUUGCCUUGUCCCCCAGAGCUCCUCCACUCCUUCCUCUCUUCUUUCUGAUUCAAACCCACCAUCAGUUCCCUCUACCCAUGGCUGAACUUCUCAUGGCAGCAAGUCCUUAAGUCCUUAAAUGCUCCACAACGCUUCUCUAAUGCAUCAGCUCAGGAACAGCUUGGCUUGGCUUAGUCCAAAAAGGAGCAAACAAAUCAAAACAUCUCAGACAAGAGGGUUGUGAACAGCUGCAUUCACAAAGGGUGGGUGAGGAAAUCCAUAAAAGCAGCUCCACAUUCUCCCUCCUGGUGCUUCUUCACACCUGCCUCUCCCAAAAGUCAAAUGCUUUGAGCUCAGCCCAGCAGCAACAGCCAAGAUGCAAAACUGCCUUUAAUUUUUUGUCUGUGCAGAGAAUUUUUCAAUAUCAAGGGGCUGACCUAGAGAAGUAUAUGGGUUGUUAAGAGAGAACUGUUAAUUACCAAUACUAUUUAAGCCACUAGAUCUCACCAGAGCAUUACAAGUGAAGCUGGGAGCCACUGUAGUUAUUAAACACCACAGAUUAGCUGCUGCUCCUGUCCUAAGUCUCAGGGCUCAUGCUACAGCAGCAGGCCUGACCUCACUCUUAAGUUGAAGAAAUUCAACUCAAUAUGCUUGAGGAGGAUAUUGGUGGCAUUGCCAUAGCCAUUACUCAAACCAUCCCAUCAAGGAUUUAUCUCCUCUUGCAGCUUCUCUGCAGCCUCUAUUAGAAAAGGAUGGAUUAAAAUUAAUUGAAGUUAGCAUCAGGACUGCUGUCACGUUUUAGUAACAAGAAUCAGCAUGCACAGCACCUCAGCUGAGAGACCAUAAAACUGUGUGCGAGCACACUGAGGCGAGCAGCAGGCAGGGUCAGUGUGCACUGCAGCACUGAGGGAGGCUGCAGGAGGAGGCUGAGAGCUCUGCCUGCCCGCACAGCAGUGCAGGAGUCCCCUGCCCUAUGCCCUGCAUUCACCUUGAGCUGCUUCGGGGCAGGAGACUCCCAAAGCUUUUCUGGGAAGUCGCUUGGGGCACACGAACGCAGUAGGAGAACUCACAUUUGCAGCUUUCACUGCAGGCAUUUCCUCCUUUCUGCUGUGCAAUAUUCCCCCUCUUCAAAGCUCAAUUGAUUUCCAUGAUCCCCAAGGCCCACAGAAACGUAACAACCUCAUUUCUGAACACAAUGCAGAGCCCACAGUGCUACUGACCACACUUUACAGACUUCUCCACUUCAGGGCAGAACCUUACAAGUAUCUAUCAAGUUAUGUUAGUUACUGUUUCUUUGGAGAACAUACUGAACUGGCUAUAAAGUCACUAUACACUCAUCAGGUACUUCAAAUACAAAGUCUGAAAACCAGUAAAAUAAAAAGAACUAAUUAAUAAGAAAAUAAAAAGCAAGAACAUCCAUGAUUUUAUUACAAAAACACCCAGCAACUGUAUUUAACACAAAAACAGUAACUGAGAGUCUCUUUUUAUUUUUCUUUCAGUGUACAUGCUCAUUAUUAUUCCAUUUAAUUUACAGAAGGGCUAUGUAAAAUGAAAUUAAAAUUAGAGAGGAAACAAAAAGGAAGAUUGAGGCAUAGAAUUUUCUUAGCAAGCAACGAUCACAGGAGACAGCACAGAUUGAACAGGGAUUCAACAGGAGUGACACCUAGGGAUAAAGGUAAACAGUAACUUUUUCCUUAUCCAUUAGAUUCUCCAUGGGGCUUUUUUGUUUGUUUUAGCAAAACAGUUGAGAGUAUCACAGUAUACAGGAAGACUAAAUGGCAAAGAAUGUCUCGCACACACACACAUUUAUCCCUGCUACUGGUCCAGGAUCCCAAACUUCACUUAACAUUCGAUUUCCUAUCUCUCAUUCAUUGAUAAACUAUACAGGAUUACACUGUACAUGGAGUUAGAAUUACAAAAAUGUCAUAUUUACAAAAAUCUGUACACACAUAGUAAAACUCACAAAAUUGUCAUCUAUGUAUCACAAGUUGCGACACCAAAAUAUUAAAAAUGGGAUAAAAUUAUACAUUUCUCUUGUCCAUUUUUAAAAAGGGUUCAUUAUUUCAAAGACAGACCACCUAUUUCUCCCAAAUAAGACUGGUAAGAGAACUAGAAACCUAAAGUAUCCUCCUGGGAUAAAAUGUUGCGAGCAGCAUCUCCCAACUAGAAAGAAGCCUAUAUCCGGUCUGCUGGGGUGGGGUGUGCAGUUAGCAUAUAUGUACAGAAACAGUGAAACUACAACGAGGAUGUCUUUGGCUAAACCUUUGGCAUAAAUUAAAAUCAUACAUCAAAAGUUACAGAAAAGGUUAUAUUGGUGAUGGCGGAAUUCCAGAAUUUCUUUCUGAGAUACCAUUAUAUACAGCUUUUCUUUCUCUCUGAGGAAAUAGAGUAGGAAUAAAGGAUUUUGGAACAGAGGCAAAUGAGGCAACAUUAUUUCUUCGUUAAAUUUUUCACUAGUAUGAAAAAUUGUAUCAAAUCUUUUCAUUAAAACAUAAUUCAAUCAUAGAAAUAACCCCUUCCAGAAUUUUUUCUUUCGAAAUUGCAUAUGAAAAAAAUUAGUAAACCAGCCAUGACAGAAAAAAAUUGUAUCAGCAUAUCAAGUACAUAUUAGUGCAGGAAGGUGGAUAAAUUUGAUCCACUGUAUAAAUAAGCUUUAUGCGCAGUGUACAUUAAAUAACCACCACACCCCACUCUCACCCAGUACACAGAUGCUCCUCAGUG